GCUGAAAAGACAUAAAGGCAGUCAGCCCAGUGGUGUUUCUGGAGAGGGAUUCCUUCAGAAAUGGAGAAGACAGAAAGCUGUGGAGGCAGAUAUAUGCAGCAUGUUCGAGUGAGCAUGAUAACCACAAGUGUGUGUCGAACUUUUCAUGACCUGAUGACUGUGUUUCCCAAUCCUGAUCCUGGAGAACCCCAGCACUGCACGGUUUUGGUGUCUCUCUUAUCUGCCUUGGAGUCUUCACUGAUGAGCUGAUGAGUUGAAUCAGGUCUAAAAUAUCAAGCUCAACAGCUCACUCAAGAGCCAACCCUCACAAACCUUCCUAAAAACUAAAAGAGCUAUUACUGAGUCUCAGCGAAUCUUGCCAUGAUCAGCUCUUCCCAGAAGAGAAGGAAGACCAAGGAAAUGAUAUGCUCAGGAUGAGAAAUGAAG
This is a long non-coding RNA of Carassius gibelio (silver crucian carp), 426 nucleotides long. RefSeq lists it as uncharacterized. The record is from RefSeq and is a predicted model, not a curated record. Lineage: Eukaryota; Metazoa; Chordata; Actinopteri; Cypriniformes; Cyprinidae. The transcript has 4 exons.